CCUACGGGAGGCAGCAGUGGGGAAUAUUGGGCAAUGGGCGCAAGCCUGACCCAGCAAUGCCGCGUGAAGGAAGAAGGCUUUCGGGUUGUAAACUUCUUUGACAGGGGAAGAGCAGAAGACGGUACCCUGAAAACAAGCCACGGCUAACUACGUGCCAGCAGCCGCGGUCAUACGUAGGAUCCGAGCAUUAUCCGGAGUGACUGGGUGUAAAGAGUUGCGUAGGUGGCAUAAUAAGUAGCUAGUGAAAUCUGGUGGCUCAACCAUUCAGACUAUUAGCUAAACUGUUAAGCUCGAGACCGUUAGGGGUAACUGGAAUUUCUAGUGUAGGAGUGAAAUCCGUAGAUAUUAGAAGGAACACCAAUAGCGUAGGCAGGUUACUGGGACGGUUCUGACACUAAGGCACGAAAGCGUAGGGAGCAAACGGGAUUAGAUACCCUAGUAGUC
Molecule: ribosomal RNA, 444 nt
Filed under: uncultured bacterium
Lineage: Bacteria
Description: partial 16S ribosomal RNA
Rfam family: Bacterial small subunit ribosomal RNA
Source: RNAcentral